AACGCACAUUGCGCCUUCUGGUAUUCCGGAAGGCAUGCUUGUUUGAGUAUCAGUAACAACCUCAGCCAAAACUCCCUCUCUCGCUUCUUGGCGGGCAGAAAGCAAAGGCUGGAUUUGAGCAAAAAGUCCCUUGGGAUCAAUUCGACGACCUUCGGGGAGCAAAUUGAGCUGUGGGGGAUGCUUGAAAUACAGGUUCGGGCUGACCAAAAUGUCCUGGGCUACAAGCUUUUCAUACUUGAUCCCGUUAAACGGAUCAUUUCCAUUGCUGCAGCCAACACAAACAGGAUCAAAAGGUGUCCAGUAAUCCGACUGAUGCAGGAAAGUUGGAACCAACAGAGCAAUCUGGUGGUUCUUUCUAACUCGAUCUCAAAUCAAGUAAGACUACCCGCUGAACUUAA
This 398-nucleotide unclassified non-coding RNA is filed under the name uncultured fungus. RNAcentral describes it as "partial contains 5.8S ribosomal RNA, internal transcribed spacer 2, and large subunit ribosomal RNA". Lineage: Eukaryota; Fungi. The record is from RNAcentral.